AAAUAGUAGAUGCUCCACUCUCGUGUAUGUAUGCUCACUGCCUUAUUCUUCUCCUUGCUCCUCCCAAAUUACGUUUCAUGAUGGAGAUGAUGAUGGUGGUGAUGAUGAUGGGCCCUGAGCACACAUACAUGGAUAGAUACUCACAC
Caenorhabditis elegans is the source of this 146-nucleotide non-coding RNA. NCBI's taxonomy places the organism in Eukaryota, Metazoa, Nematoda, Chromadorea, Rhabditida, Rhabditidae. The record is from Ensembl.